UGUAAGCGUUAAUCUCGUUCUCAGCGCUCGGAAAGUAUUCUAUUGGUUUGUUGCAGGGCGUCCGUGUCAUUGAAGGAUUCAGUCCCAGUUUAAAUGCUUUAAAUCCUUCAAACAGUUUGUAUUUUUUGCACCGCCAGUACACAGAAGCGUUUUAUAACGAUCUUUAUUGAUAAAUCUAUAUGUGGCCAUUGUUUAUUGCGUUUUGAAGAGCACUCGCUUCGUCUUUCCAACAAGACGCGUAGGUUCGGCGCUCCGAUUUGCAUUUAAGCUGUCAUCUUCUCGGAAGCAGGCGCUCAUGCUUGGAGACCUGCAGAGCACGAACUGCAGCAUGCAUGCCGAAAUAAACAGCUAUUGCCUAUUUCAAAUCGAACCAAUGUAAGGCAAGGCCCCUUUUUUGCUGUACUGUGCUUGCAAAUUGCAAAGCAAUGAUAAGACACAAUGUAGAAAGAAACAUUUUCUUUUAUUUGGAAAACAUUAGAGUGGCAUCAAAAAAAAAUAUUGAGCAGCGCCAAGUCAGUCACUACACUAAGCAGCUCCACUGCAAUUCACAUGACCUAGGAAUCCCAGCCAUACAACCGAAUGAUUAUUCGUAUAAGUGACGAUCAAGAUCAUUCUUCACUUGAAUGCCACGGAGCGCUGUUCAGUAACAGCAGUCAGUU
RNAcentral lists this long non-coding RNA (659 nucleotides) under Dermacentor andersoni. Its description in RNAcentral is "uncharacterized LOC126519874". The record is from RNAcentral. Lineage: Eukaryota; Metazoa; Arthropoda; Arachnida; Ixodida; Ixodidae.